Molecule: ribosomal RNA, 254 nt
Filed under: uncultured bacterium
Lineage: Bacteria
Description: partial 16S ribosomal RNA
Rfam family: Bacterial small subunit ribosomal RNA
Source: RNAcentral
UACGUAGGGGGCGAGCGUUGUUCGGAUUUACUGGGCGUAAAGGGCGCGUAGGCGGCCACCGCAAGUCGACUGUGAAAUCUCCGGGCUUAACCCGGAAAGGUCAGCCGAUACUGCGGGGCUAGAGUGCAGAAGGGGCAACUGGAAUUCUCGGUGUAGCGGUGAAAUGCGUAGAUAUCGAGAGGAACACCUGCGGCGAAGGCGGGUUGCUGGGCUGACACUGACGCUGAUGCGCGAAAGCUAGGGGAGCGAACGGG